UGAGGAAUAUUGGUCAAUGGGCGCGAGCCUGAACCAGCCAAGUAGCGUGAAGGAUGAAGGUCCUAUGGAUUGUAAACUUCUUUUAUAGCAGAAUAAAGUGACCCACGUGUGGGUUUUUGUAUGUAUGCUAUGAAUAAGGAUCGGCUAACUCCGUGCCAGCAGCCGCGGUAAUACGGAGGAUCCGAGCGUUAUCCGGAUUUAUUGGGUUUAAAGGGUGCGUAGGCGGAAAGAUAAGUCAGCCUGUGAAAGUUUGCGGCUCAACCGUAAAAUUGCAGUUGAUACUGUUGUUCUUGAGUGUACAUAAGGUAGGCGGAAUUCGUGGUGUAGCGGUGAAAUGCUUAGAUAUCACGAGGAACUCCGAUUGCGCAGGCAGCUUACUAAGCCACAACUGACGCUCAUGCACGAAGGCGUGGGGAUCAAACA
Molecule: ribosomal RNA, 423 nt
Filed under: uncultured bacterium
Lineage: Bacteria
Description: bacterial SSU rRNA
Rfam family: Bacterial small subunit ribosomal RNA
Source: RNAcentral